RNAcentral lists this ribosomal RNA (256 nucleotides) under Escherichia coli. RNAcentral's name for it is "partial 23S ribosomal RNA". It matches the Rfam family "Bacterial large subunit ribosomal RNA", at positions 1419 to 1677 of the family's 2925-position model. Lineage: Bacteria; Pseudomonadati; Pseudomonadota; Gammaproteobacteria; Enterobacterales; Enterobacteriaceae. The record is from RNAcentral.
UGGGAAACAGGUUAAUAUUCCUGUACUUGGUGUUACUGCGAAGGGGGGACGGAGAAGGCUAUGUUGGCCGGGCGACGGUUGUCCCGGUUUAAGCGUGUAGGCUGGUUUUCCAGGCAAAUCCGGAAAACUAAGGCUGAGGCGUGAUGACGAGGCACUACGGUGCUGAAGCAACAAAUGCCCUGCUUCCAGGAAAAGCCUCUAAGCAUCAGGUAACAUCAAAUCGUACCCCAAACCGACACAGGUGGUCAGGUAGAGA